GGGGAUAGAGCUUAGCGGAGUAAGUGCCUGCCUGGCAAGCACAAGGUCCUAGGUUAGAUUCCUGGUACUCCUC
This 73-nucleotide transfer RNA is filed under the name Cavia porcellus (domestic guinea pig). It matches the Rfam family "tRNA". Rfam says of the family: Transfer RNA (tRNA) molecules are approximately 80 nucleotides in length. Their secondary structure includes four short double-helical elements and three loops (D, anti-codon, and T loops). Further hydrogen bonds mediate the characteristic L-shaped molecular structure. tRNAs have two regions of fundamental functional importance: the anti-codon, which is responsible for specific mRNA codon recognition, and the 3' end, to which the tRNAs corresponding amino acid is attached (by aminoacyl-tRNA synthetases). tRNAs cope with the degeneracy of the genetic code in two manners: having more than one tRNA (with a specific anti-codon) for a particular amino acid; and 'wobble' base-pairing, i.e. permitting non-standard base-pairing at the 3rd anti-codon position. Lineage: Eukaryota; Metazoa; Chordata; Mammalia; Rodentia; Caviidae. The record is from Rfam by way of RNAcentral.